Non-coding RNA from Pelobates cultripes (western spadefoot toad), 356 nucleotides. Lineage: Eukaryota; Metazoa; Chordata; Amphibia; Anura; Pelobatidae. The record is from the annotation of a GenBank genome assembly.
CCUGGGAUGUCUUCUUUAAGAAAUGGUAUGGCUUUAUGGGGUAUUUGGAUUAUAUAGCCUGGUAAAAUACUCUAAAAUGGGACAUAGGCACAGCAUAAAAAUUCAAAGUUUGAAAAAAACCUGGAAUGGCUGUGUCCCAAAUGUGCCCCUCUGAUGUCCACACAUACCUGGCAAAAGUACAUACGGGGGUAUGGCUGUACUCAGCCGACAUAGCUGAGCAACAUAUGAAGCAUUAUACAGUCGUAGCACACAUAAGGUUUGCAAAAUAUACUGUGCAAACUCACUUUGUAUGUCAAAAAGGCAGAAAAAAAACGCUUAUUACCACUACAUCUGGUACAAGCUAGCGGAAAAAUGAU